CCUACGGGGGGCUGCAGUGGGGAAUAUUGGACAAUGGGCGAAAGCCUGAUCCAGCCAUGCCGCGUGUGUGAAGAAGGCCUUCGGGUUGUAAAGCACUUUCAGUGGGGAAGAAAGCCUUGGGGCUAAUACCCUCGAGGAAGGACAUCACCCACAGAAGAAGCACCGGCUAACUCCGUGCCAGCAGCCGCGGUAAUACGGAGGGUGCGAGCGUUAAUCGGAAUUACUGGGCGUAAAGCGCGCGUAGGCGGUCUGAUAAGCCGGUUGUGAAAGCCCCGGGUUCAACCUGGGAACGGCAUCCGGAACUGUCAGGCUAGAGUGCAGGAGAGGAAGGUAGAAUUCCCGGUGUAGCGGUGAAAUGCGUAGAGAUCGGGAGGAAUACCAGUGGCGAAGGCGGCCUUCUGGACUGACACUGACGCUGAGGUGCGAAAGCGUGGGUAGCAAACAGGAUUAGAUACCCGUGUAGUC
Molecule: ribosomal RNA, 465 nt
Filed under: Vreelandella stevensii
Lineage: Bacteria; Pseudomonadati; Pseudomonadota; Gammaproteobacteria; Oceanospirillales; Halomonadaceae
Description: partial 16S ribosomal RNA
Rfam family: Bacterial small subunit ribosomal RNA
Source: RNAcentral